This 59-nucleotide transfer RNA is filed under the name Candidatus Nealsoniibacteriota bacterium. RNAcentral describes it as "Candidatus Nealsonbacteria bacterium tRNA-Lys". It matches the Rfam family "tRNA", at positions 9 to 64 of the family's 71-position model. Rfam says of the family: Transfer RNA (tRNA) molecules are approximately 80 nucleotides in length. Their secondary structure includes four short double-helical elements and three loops (D, anti-codon, and T loops). Lineage: Bacteria; Candidatus Nealsoniibacteriota. The record is from RNAcentral.
AGCUCAAUUUGGUAGAGCAGCUCCCUUUUAAGGAGUUGGUUCCGAGUUCAAGUCUCGGC